CUCUGUCUCAAAAAUAAAGAGGAAUUGGAGGAGGAAAUAAAUGAAUAAAUGGCAAAGGUGACAGAGGACCAAAGAUCCGUGACUUGUGCAAAGAUUGCUCUGUGGUAAUUAUUCAGAAACAAUGUUUGUAUCUUAUUUUUUAGUGAAUUUUGUAUAUUGUCUAAUCUGAUUUACUUUGUUUUUAAUAGUUUGCUGCAGGUCUAGAAGAUGUUACAGAAUUUCAAGGAAGAGAGAGGAGGGCUGGAAUGAGGUCCUCCACUUCAGAAAAUAGGGGGCAGUUUCCAUUUUAUUUAUGUUGUCUUGCUGGAAAGGACAAAGAACAACAAUUCUGUAUCUAGUAGCAAAGAGGCAGUUGCUGUGGGAGGUGUGGUAACUGCUGGAAGGAAGAUGCUCAAUUCUUCUGAGCAACGCAGGCCACACGGAGUCCUGGAUUCGGUGUGGCCUGGCAUCCACGGUGUACUGUGUGCUAGCGGGUGGCUCAGGACGGUAAGCAUUUCUCUGCCCCGCAUGCUGAAUGAGGGUGUCUUUUGGAUUUCCAAGACAGCAGUUUCUUGGCUAACCACUAAUGGCGUGGCGAGUUCCUCUCCUAGAGUGGAUGGUCUGUGCUCAUUGCUCAGUGGCACCGCUCUAGUGGGGCCGAAGGUCUUUAACAUCAUCGGCUCACCCACUGCCCAGCCUGUGGUGUCAAAUGUCCUGCCUCUUCAAAUGUGCUUGGAUCGAUGAUGAGUCUCCCAAAAAAACAUUCCUUGGAAAAGCUGAACAAAAUGAGUGAAAACUCAUACCGUCGUUCUCAUCGGAACUGAGGUCCAGCACGUUGCCUUCCCCGGGGACUGUAGGAGUGAGGGACAACUUCCACUGAUUCCCAUAGGUUCCACCGCCCAAGGCAUCCACAGCCAAAGUCUCCCAUCACAUGCUCAUUAGGAACAUUCCCUUUGUGUGAGGUACACAGGUAGGAGAGUCCUGGGGGGAACGGCUGCUCUGUGAUGGCCUUGUGGCCAUGGAAGCAGACAGAAAUAUCACAGGCCUAGGGUAGUGUGUGCCUGAUCUUGGCUUGGUGAGCUCCCAGGAAGGGAGACCCGGACCUCAUGGCAGGUGUCUCUGAGCAGAGGACUGAGUCCUUGUUUUCUUGCCGGGGAGAGCACAAGGCCCAGGCCUCAGGCAGAUGUUGGUCCUGAUUUUUGAUUAGCUGAGGACAAGGGAGUGCCAAGGAUGAUGGGAGACAGUGUAUAACAAAGGGUGUUGUGACAGAGAGCCAAAGCCUCUUUGGCCCUCCACCCAGCAUCCGGUCAUGGAGGCCCCCCAGCAGGGAUUUCUUCAUCCCCUGAGCCGUGAGAUGCCCCUGGUGCUAUGGUGGAAGCCUGGACUGGAAGGUACUCCACAGAAGAGGUGGUAGGGGACUCAUGUGGACAUGUGUGUCAUCAGCAGUCUUGGGCUAUUGUUCAGCAGUGAUGGGCUUUCCAUUUAUUUCUUUAGUGGAUGACAAGUUGGCCAGCAGGGGUGUUAGAGGGCAGGUUCCAGGCAAUACAAGGGUCAGACUCAUGCCCCUGGCCCUCAGACACUUCUCGUCUUCCUGACAGAGUAGUGGGCUCCACUGUUGUGCACAUCUUCCUGGAAAUCGUCUCUUGGCCUGCCAUUGCUGGGCAGCCACACCUGCUGCAGCUCGUGUGAGCAAAUAUGGCUCUGGAUCCUCUUUCCCGCUUUGAAAGCAGCUUCCAUCCUGAAGGCGUCCAGAGGGGGCAGUUAUCAUGGGACACCGGCCAUAUGCUGGCAAGGAGGAUGGUCAGUUCUUCUGAGCCACAAAGGCCCCCAACGUCCUGGAGUUGGUGUGGCAUAGCAUCCACGGUGCACCCCCUGCUGGUGGACAGCUCAGGAUGGGGCAGUUGCCGUGGGAGGCCUGCUGCCUGCUGGAAGGAAGAUGGUCAGUUCUUCUGAACCACAAAGGCCCUGCAGAGUCCUGGAGUCAGUGUGGCCUGGCUUCCAGGGUUCAUCUCGUGCUGGUGGAUCUCUCAGGAUGGGGCAGUUGCUGUGGGAGGUCCGCUGCCUGCUGUCCAGGAAGAUGGUCGAUGCUUCUGAGAAACAGGCCCUGCGGGUUCCUGGAUUUGGUGUGGCCUGGCAUCCACGGUACACCCCAUGCUGGCGGGUGGCCCAGGACGGGGCAGUUGCCUUGAGAGGCCCACCACCUGCUGGCAUGGCAGAUGGUCAGUUCUUCCGAGCAAUGGAACCUCCAUGGAGUCGUGGAGUCGGUGUGGCCUCGUGUCCACAGUGCACCCAGUGCUGGUGGAUGGCUCAGGACGCAGCAGUUGUCAUGAGAGGUCUGCCGCUUGCUGGCAAGGAAGAUGGCCAAUUCUUCUGACCAACAGAGGCUUCCUUGAGUCCUGAUUUGGUGUGGCCUGGCAUCUAUGGUGCACCCCAUGCUGGGGCAGUUGCCGUGGGAGGCCUGCCACCUGCUGAAAGGAAGAUGGCUGACACUUCUGAGCAAUGAAGGCCCCGCGGAGUCCUGGAUUCAGUGUGGCCUGGCAUCCGUGGUGCACCUCAUGCUGGUGGAUGGCUCAGGACGGGACAGUUGCCAUGGGAGGCGCAGGCCUGCUGGAAGGAAGAUGGUCGAUUCUCCCGAGCAAAGAAGGCCACACAGAGUCCUGGUUUUGGUGUGGCCUGGUAUCCACAGUGCACCCCAUGCUGGUGGGUGGCUCAGGACGAGUGGAUGGUCUGUACCUUUUGCUCAGUGGCACAGCUCUGGGUUCCCCAGGGUGCCGAAGAUGUUUAAGGUCAUCAGCUCGUCCACUGCCCAGCCUGCAGUGUCAAACAUCCUGCCUCUUUGAAUGUGCUUGGAUCGAUGAUGAGUCCCCCAUAAAAACAUUCCUUGGAAAAGCUGAACAAAAUGAGUGAGAACUCAUACCGUUGUUCUCAUCGGAACUGAGGUCCAGCACAUUGCCUCCACUUUGGCUUACUGUGGUACACGGCUAACUUUGUCAUAUUACAUGAUACUUCACUACCCAGGCAUUGGCAUUCAAUUUUUGUGGUCAUUUUGACCAUAGUAAAAUUCUUUAUCAUAAAUGUAUUUGAGAAUCAUACUUGGGUAGCCCAUGAAAUUUUUUAGUGUUACUCUUCUUGGAGUCAAGUUGGUUUCACCCUUAAUGCUAGGUUUUGGAUAUUUGUCACACGAUUGAAUUUUAGCCAGGUUCUGGUCACCAAUCACAGCCUUCCGCCAACAUUCAUAGAGAAAGUUUCCUUGUUUUUUUUAUGUUGAGGAAGUACAUAUUUCAUGAAUGUUUUUGCUUUUGUUUCAAUGUUGGGCUGACCAGCAUGUCAUCUCUUAUCUUAUCCUGAACUGAGUAGUGGUACAAGUUUUUGGCUUUCAGCUUCCAGGGCACCAAGUCUUUUGUGCACAAAUUGCAAGUAUUGAAGCCAUGGUGUUGAUUGGGAUGCUCUACGCCCAUGCUCUUUAGUGGCAUGAUGCCCUCCCAGGUACCUGGAAUCCACAUGUGCAACUCUAUAUGUGUGUUUCUGUGAACACAAAUAUGUGAAGCCAUAGAUAAGCAGAUUUCAUAUGUACCAUAGGAGUCUAGAUGACAUGGUCUUCCUAACCUAUGUACCUGUCUGUCUUUCUGAAGCACACUCAUUUCCUCUGCACCUUCCUAGUGUCAUUGGCAUGGAAGGAAGUCCUUUAACCAAGAAGGAUGGUCUUUGUCUUGUGUGAUCUUUGAGAUGCCGUGAGGCCCCUGGAUACAAAUGGUGUGGGCUCCUUUGGAGGCUUUUGGAUUUCUCCUGAAUGUGGCGUUGGUUUGGAAGGAAGGCCAGUGACCACAAGGGAUGAUUUUGAUCUUGGGAGAUUUUUGGAGAUUGCAAAGUGCUUCUAAACACAUGUGGCGUGGUCUCCUUCAGGCUGGUGGAUACCUCAGGAUGGUGGCGUUGGCAUGGAAGGAAGGACUGUGUCUGUGAGGGAUGAUCAUCCUCUCAUGUGAUCCUUAGAGAUGCCAGGAAGCCCCUUGACACAUGUGGCAUGGGCUCCUUCAGAGGCUUUUGGAUCCUUCGUGAAUGUGGCAUGGGCAUGCAAAGAAAGACAGAGGCUGCAAGGGAUGAACUUCAUCUUGGGGGAUCCCUGGAGAUGGCAGGGAACCCAUGGACACAUGUGGCAUGGGCUCCUUUGGGUGCCGGUGGAUCCCUUCAUAUGGUGUAAGUGAUGAAUUGGCCGGGCCCAUGUUGGUGAGGGACAAUCGUCAUCUCAUGUUAACCUCAGAGAUGCCAGGAAGCUCCUGGACACACAUGGUGUAGGCUUCCUUGGAGGCUGUUGGAUCUCUCCUGAACGUAGUGUUGGUGUAAAAGGCAAACCCGUGUCAUGAGGGAUGAUCACCAUCAUGUGUGAUCCUUGGAGAUGGCAGGAAGCCCUGGACAUACACGGUGUGGGCUCCUCCGGAGGCUGUUGGAAUCCUCCUGGAUGUGGUGUUGGCAUGGAAGGAAGCCCAGUGGAGACAAUGGAUGAUCUUGUUCUUAGCAGAUCACUGGAUGUGGCAGGGAGUCCUAGGACAUGUGUGGUGUGGGCUUCUUCAGGUGCUGCACACUCGUGUUUCCUCUGCACCUCCCAGGUGGUGUUGGCAUGAAAGGAAAGGAGGUAUCUUCGAGGGAAAAUCAUCUUCUUGUGCGAUCCUUGGAGAUGCCAUGAGGCCCCUGGACACAUGUGGUGUGGGCUCCUUUGGAGGCUGUUGUAUCCCUUCUGAAUGUGGCUUGGGCAUAGAAGGAAGGCCAGUGGCCAUGAGGGACAAUCUUGGUCUCGGGAGAUCCCUGGAAGUGAUAGGGAGUCCCUUGAAAUGUGUGGCAUGGGCUCCUUCAGGUGCUAGUGGAUUCCUUAGGAUGGUAGCAUUGGCAUGGAAGACAGGCCCAUGUUGACAAUUGUUACCUCGUGUGAGCUGCAGAGAUACCAGGAAGCCCCUGGACACAAAUGGCAAAGGCUCCUUUGGAAGUUGUUGGAUCCCUUCUGCAUGUGGUGUUGGCGUAAAAGGCAGGCUCGUAUCGUGAGGAAUUAUUGUCAUCUUGUGUGAUCCUUGGAGAUGGCAGGAAGCCCCUGGAAACACAUGGUGUGGACUCCUUCACAGGCUGUUGAAACCCUCCUGAAUGUAGCAUUGGCAUGGAGGGCAGGCCCAUGUUGGCGAGGGACAAUUCUUAUCUCCUGUGAGCCACGGAGAUACCAGGAAGCCCCUGGACACAAAAGGCAAAGGCUCCUUCGGAAGUUGUUGGAUCUCUUCUGAAUGUGAGGCCAGAGACAGGCAGACAGCAGAUGUAUCGCAGGGAGCUGGAUGACAUGGCCCUUGGAACCUGUGCACAUGCCUGCCUUUCUGAUGCACGUCCAUGUUUUCUCUGCACCUCCCCGGUGGUGUUGGUAUAAAAAGCAGGCUCACGUCAGCAAGGGAUGAUUGUCAUCUCAUGUGAUCCUGGCAGAUGGCAGAAGUCCCAGGACACAUGGAGUGUGGGCUCUUUCGGAGGCUGUUGGAUCCCUCCUGAAUGUGUUGUGGCCAUGGAAGUAAAGCCAGUGGCUACGAGGGACAGUCUUCAUCUUGGGAGAUCCCUAGAGAGGGCAGGGAGCCCCUUGACAUGUGGAAUGUGAUCUCCGUUGGGUGCUGGUGGAUCCCACAGGUGGUCUGGCAUGGAAGAAGGCCAGAGGCUGUGAUGGAUCAUCUUUGUCUUGGGAGAUUCCUGGAGAUGGUGGGGAGCCCCUGGGCAUGUGCGGCACGUGUGGCGUGGGCUUCUUCAGGUGCUGGUGGAUCCCUCAGGAUGCUUUUCAAGAUUUUUCUAUGAGUUCUGUUAAAGAGGCUGAAAAUGGAGCGUAGAAGACAUGCUUCGAUUUCCAGGAUGGUUGUGUUUUCCAGAGAGGCGAAGGUAAACCAUUGGCGCAGCCCUGCCUCCCACAGAUAAUUCCGGGUGCAGUGUUUCAUAUCUAGACUUGGACUUCUAUCCUACUGUACUUCUUUGUGUGCAGUUCAUCGCAGAACCAGCACAGAUUUUCAUAUGAAAGUUAUUUUUUUAACCUCAAAAAGUGACAGAAUGGAGUGUAUCAUGAAAAAGUGUGACAUCAAAACCUCAAAAUGUGAUAUUGAUUGGGUGAGAUAGAAUUCCAUGGAUCUUCAUUGCCAAACCAGUGAAGUGCUAAUUUUGACAUUUGUACCAGCUAACAUAGCUGUGAAGAAACACACCAAUACACUUCUAAGGACAACAUAGACCAAGAUCUAGGUUUCAUAUGGAUGAAUUUAUUCAUCCCUUUGAGGCAAGACAAGAAGGAAAGAAAGUAUUGGGAAUAAUGCUACCCUCCCAUCCUCAAGGGCCAGUGGGAACUCUAAUAUUGAUUGGGUGAGAUACAAUUCCAUGGAAUUUUACCACUGAACCAGUGAAGGGCUAAUUUUGUCAUUUGUACCAGUUAACUAAUUUGGGAGGAAACAGAACAACACACUCCUGAGGGUAAAAUGGAAACUCUGAGAGUUCGGUUGGCGGCAUCUAUAUACCAUAGAAACAGAGCCUGGGAAGCAGAACAGUGAGACCCAAGAGAAAUGUUCCUGCCUAUACUUGAUUGGUUGUCACAGAAUUCCAUGGACUUUAACUGCUGAACCAGUGAUGCGCUGAUUUUGUCAUAUGUACCAGCUAACUCAUCUGGGAGGCAACAAAACAAUAUUCUCCUGAGAUCAGCAUGAACCAAGAACUGGGUUUCAUAUAAAAUAUUCUGUCCUCUUGAGAUGUGACAUGAAGAAAAGUAUUGAGAAUACUUCUAUCACCUCAUCUUCAAGAAUCAGUAGGAAUUCUCCCAUGGUGGACUUUAGGGUUAACCUGAACAGGUCUUGGAAAAAGGACUUUAAACAUUCUCCUGUUCUGUGGUAUAAGUAUACUUUUUUCUGGACAUAGACCUUGUCAGUGAGUUCCAUGUGAUACUAGAGUUGCAUGGAUUUUUAACCUUUACACCAAUGAAGAUAUGAGGCAAACAUUGCUCCUUUUUUAGAAGUUUGCAUUUGUCACUGAUAACUGUAAUAAUUGAUCUUGUUGAAAAGCUUGGGAAAUGAAGAUCUGAUAUGUCACUUUUACCAGCUUCCUCAACUGAAAAAGAAUACAACGAAACACGCCGAGGUGACAUCUAAUUUUUGAUACUUUUUUUCCUGGAUUACUACUGUUUUAAGUAUUUAGGAAUUUAAUGGGUGCUAUACUACGGAGCCAGUUAAUUCAGAUGCUAUAAGACCUUACUCUGGUGAGUCAUCUGAGGCUUCUGUUCUUUUCUAGAAUUUUUGUGAUUUCUCAGUCUUGCUGAUGAUCUUUCUAUGGGCAUGAAGCGUGGAGAGUGCCAGAGAGGCUGAUUCUCAGCAGUGUGGCAGAGGAAAGUUGGGUGCGACCAAGGGGUAUGCGGUGCCCAAAUGCCACUGGGUCCUCAGCAGUACCACCUGAUUGGAAGUGAUAUUGGUGGAAGACAACAUUUUGCCGCUUGGAAUUCUUACCUCCACACCAAAGAAGUACUGUUUUUGUCAUUUGCACCAGCUUCUUUCUCCAGGAAAGAUCAAAACGAUGCACUGCAAGGGCAUGCCAUAUAUCUCUCAGGACCUGAAGCAAGAGAAUGAAUUAAAGAAAACUCCAGAGAAUGAGCUGACAACUUACUCCCUGGUCAGUGGCUCUCCAUGCCUACCUGUGGUCUCUUGGACACCCUUGCAGAAGAUGACUUCCUGGGAACUCUUCUGGGAGUGAAUGUUAUCCGCGAAUUCCCAAAACAACACCCCUUAGACAAAAAGCCUCCUCACCUAUGCAUUGCCUAGGCCGCCCACUAAAGGUGAUGGCCACAAAAGGUGGAUUUGUUGAGUUGGUGCCAUUCCUUCUACUGCCAGCUUCACCAAAACAAUGACACAGUCUUCCUUCUGCAUGGAGACUCUUCUCUUUCCUGUGUUGCAGUGGAUGCCUCCUGCAGAUAAGAAAUGCUUAACUGAGAAAUGCUCAUGUUGGGAUAUCAUCGAUGAGACUUUAAUUUGGGCAUGGUGACUGUUUCCCUUGCUGCCACUUGACUCAAUCCCAGGAGCCUCAGUAGAGAAUAUAAUAUUACACAAGAUGCUCAAAAUGGUGGAAUUGCUCAGUGCUCCCAUAAAUAUACAUUUAUAAUUUUCAUUUGCCACAUGGUAAACUGAAAAACACAGAAUAUAUUAAAAAGAAACUCUGCAUGAUUUUUUUUCAAAAAUUCAAAGCAUAUUUAAAUAAUAUAUAAAUUAAAUGCCCUCCUCUCUUCCAAUUCUGUCCCUAUAGUUUUCCUCUAUUAAGCGAACUACAUGCAUUCUUUUAGUGGAUAGAUGCACACAAACACACAAGCCAUUUGGGGAACGAUCCACAUGUGUGGCCAUAUUGUAACACAUUUUUCUGCAAAUUACCUCUUUCAUUUAACAGCCCUUAUUCAAUGGCCUUUUUCUUUUUCAGUAAUACAUACACAUCUGUGUCAUUUGUUGAAUGACGACAUCAAUGUUUUGUAGAUGAAAUAUAAUUAAAUGUUUUAAGCAUUUCUCACUCAUAGAUAUUUAUGUUAGCACCAAAUUUCUGUGCAAUGAACCUCCCUAUAUAUUAAUAAUUUUGCAUUUGUCUAUAAUAUAAUAAAUUACUUAUCAGUUGAAUUACUGGGAUUAAGUAUGUGCACACCUUAUAUUUAUAUUUUGAAAAUUAAUGCAAGAUUGCCUUCAAAAAUGUGGUUAACAACUUUAUCCUCAAAUGGCAAUGUAUGAGAUUGCCAGCUUUCCUACAACCUCACAGACAAUGGAUUUUAUAAAUAUUUAACAUUUUUGCCAAUGUGAUCACCCAAACUGUUGUCUUAAAUUGUAUUUCUUUUGUUUUUGAGUUUGGUCAUUUUUUCAUGUUUAUUAGCCAUCUGUAUUUUUUAAUUUCUUCUUUAUGUCCAAUUUUGUGGGUGGGAGGAGGAUUUAGUCUCUUCCUGAUUUUGAAGAGCUCAUUUACUAUUUUGGGAAAUAAGAUUUGGAUUGUCAACCAUUAUAGCUAUUUUUUACACACUUUUUAACUUUGUUUUUGUUAUAAGAAUGUGUAUGAUUGUUAUAUGUCCAAGUAUAACCAUGUUCGCUUUUAUGGCUUCUGAGUUUCAUGUCAUUUUUGGAAAGAUAUAUAUACUGAGUCCAUAAAACCCUUCACAUAUGUUAAAUUCUAAUUCUUUUGUGUUUUUUUAAUUCAAAUUCUUAAAUCAUGAGAAAUUUUUUUGUUUUGAAAUCUUAAAGUUGCCAAGUUACUUGCCAUUACUUGCGAUUAUUUGCCAAUAAUUGCCCAUUUAUCUGUACCGCCAUCUUGCGCAUAUGCUGUACUCUCAUCUGUGACUGGCUCCAUUUUUGUUCUGUGGAUUUGUGUGUCUCUUCUUCUGCCUCCUGUCUCAUGUGUCUUCUCGUUGGAAGAAAUUACAGUUUAGACUGCAAUUUCAUCAACUUUAAUAAAUCAAUUGAGGGGAGAAUUGGUUUUUAAAAAUAUUAAGUAAGUCUUCGUAUCCAAGGACAAGGUAUGUCUUUUCUUAUUCAAUAAUUUUAAUUACUGUUAAUAUUUUCACUGUGGUGAUGGGAGUUUUUCUUUUAAUUUAUUUUCUUGUUCAUUUUUUGUAUCUAAAGUUUUUGUUUCGUUUUGUUUUGGGGGUAAGUUGUCACCUUACUGUUUCUUGUUGCUUUUCAGAUUUUUUCAAAGUAUAGACUAAAUCCUUCACAAAUAUUUAAAGUUUCUAUUUUCCCCCCUUCAUAUUGAUCCUGAUUUUAGUUAUGCUGACAAAGUCCACAGACUGUUACUAUCAGAACACUUGAACAGUUAUGGAAAUAUCACCUACCCUUGAUUUAAUCAGAGUUUAAUGGUAUGCUUCUUUGGUUUGACUGGCACAUUGUUCCUGGUCAUUUUCUCCCAAAGACCACCAGAAAGAGCUAUGAUCAAGCAAAGCUGAGUUUGUUAAACUUACCUGCAGCAAGGGAAAACACCACCUUGAUAGGGUUUAAUAAUGUUUCAAAAUCAAGAAAUGAGGCUUUGGGGUCUGGGCAGGGAACUAAUUAGACAUGGGCAAAAUUUGUCAUGCAAUACUUUAAGAUUGGUGGGAAAGUGAGAUGAGGUUCUUAAUGUGAGUACUGAUGGUCAAAUCAUUUUCUAGGUGAGCUGUUUGCCUAUAUAAAGAUGUUAUCAAUGAUAGAAGAACUAUUUGCCUAGAUAAACAAACUGAAUUUAUUUAUUGGUUUACAGUUUUAUCUUGCUGGGCAGGACUCUGCUGGGGGUGGUAUCAGGUCUUAUUCCCAAUAGGUAAGUUAUUUGGAUAUGGGUGGUCUUAAUCAUCAAUGUGUAAAAUGCUGAUUUUAAGUGCAAAAUACUUUGUCUACCAUGUUAGGAAAGUCUCCCACCUUUUAUCUUUUUUAAGGAAUUUUAAUCAAAACCAGGUGGUAGAUAUAAUCAAAUUUUUUUGCAGAAUCAAUUUUACUGUUCUUUAAAAAGACUUUUAUCACUGUUUAAUUUACUAUUAUUAAUUUACUAUUAUUGCAACUUCCUUUUAUUUCUUGAAUGAACAGACUGACCCUACUGGUUUUAAAAAUGUUUUAUUCUUUUAAUUUACUACUUAAUCUUGGGUAUUUUAAUUUGAUUUGGAAUUUUUACAAGUAUACAAAUAAGUGAAAUUGAUCUGUGAUUUUUCUUUCUUGUGCUAUUUUUGUCAUGUUUUGAUAUCAGAUAUUCUGGUUGUGUUAAAAUAAUUUUGAGGAUUUUGUUCUUAUACUGUGUUCUAGAGUGGGGAAAAAAAAAGCUCUAGUCUCACUAUCAGUGUUUAAGUGAACACAUCAAUGACAUCAUCUGGACUCUGCUUUGUUUUUGCUGGUUUGGCAUUAGGACAUCUAGAAGUUUUUUUCCUUUUUUGUAUGGUUAUUGCUUGUUCUUUGUUUUGUGUCAAAUUUAACCUGUUUUCUCUUAGCAAAUCACAGUUCAUGCAGAUUGUCAAACACAUUAGCAUUGUUAUACAAAGUGUUCUUUCGUCAUUCUAUUAAAUUUCCAUUUUCAUUCCA
This is a long non-coding RNA of Nomascus leucogenys (northern white-cheeked gibbon), 11018 nucleotides long. RefSeq lists it as uncharacterized. The record is from RefSeq and is a predicted model, not a curated record. The transcript is spliced from 41 exons. Lineage: Eukaryota; Metazoa; Chordata; Mammalia; Primates; Hylobatidae.